Molecule: ribosomal RNA, 330 nt
Filed under: Staphylococcus aureus
Lineage: Bacteria; Bacillati; Bacillota; Bacilli; Caryophanales; Staphylococcaceae
Description: bacterial LSU rRNA
Rfam family: Bacterial large subunit ribosomal RNA
Source: RNAcentral
GUCUCAACGAGAGACUCGGUGAAAUCAUAGUACCUGUGAAGAUGCAGGUUACCCGCGACAGGUCUGAAAGACCUCGUGGAGCUUUACUGUAUCCUGAUAUUGAAAUUCGUCUCAGCUUGUUCAGUUUAGGUAGGAGCCUUUGAUACGUGAGUGCUAUCUUGCGUGGUGGCGCUGGUGGGAUACUACCCUAGCUGUGUCGGCUUUCUAACCCGCACCACUUAUCGUGGCGGCAGACAGUGUCAGGCUGGCAGUUUGACUGGGGCGGGCCCCGCCUCUAAUGUGACUGAGGCUGUCUCAUGUUCCCCUCUGACGGUGGGGAAUCAUUCAUAG